GUAUGUGGAAACACAGAGGAGGGGUUUUUUGAUGGGUUUGAAGGUGGCCCCCAAAAGAUAGAUCCAGAUCCAUGGACUCCUGGUACCAUGAAUGUGACCUUCUUUGGAUAGAGGGUUUUUGCAGAUGUAAUUAACUUACUGAAGUCACCCUGAAUUAUUCAGAUGGGUCCUAAAUUUGGUGACACAUGUUCUAAUAAGAGAUAGAAGGGGAGAAGACACAGACACAGGGAGAAGACAGCCAUGUGAAGGCAGAGACGGGAGUGAGGCAUCUACAAGCCAAAGACUGCCGGCAACCACCAGAAGCCAGGAGAGAGGCCUGCAACGGGUUGUCCCUCACACCCCUCAGGAAAAGCCGGCAGGCCAACACCUUGAUUUGGGACUCCUGGCCUCCAGAACUGUGAGAAAAUGGAUUGCCACUAUUUCAAGCCACCUGGGCAGUGGUGCUCUGGUGCAGCAGUCUAUGGGCAACUGAGUGUCUAACUCACAUCCAGGAAGGUUGUCUUGGGAGGUUUCUGAAGCAGCGGCAUUAGAAAUGAGUCCUGAAGUUGGAGUAGAAGGUCAUCAGGUUGCAGGGAGGUGGGCAGAAGGCCUUCAGGAGGCCUUACCGGAGCGUGCACAGGCAUGAGGCAAGAACAAGCACUGCGGGGGCUGAGGACAAUGAUCCAGUAGGACUGGAGCCUGGGAGCCUGCAGAAGACAGCGUCAAAGAUAGGCCUACUCUAAAGAUGGUACUCUGUUGACCCAGAGUCUGGAUGUCAUUGUGAGGGUAAUGGGCUCAUUAAAAGUGUUCAGUAGGGGAGUGCUCCAGUCAGGUGUGCUUUGGAAAGGUUUCACAGGAACCCAAAGAGAAGAAUGGAUCCAGAACUGACCCGUCCAAGACUAGGAGGUCUGUUUGGCAACAAUGCCAGCCUGGAAUGGUGGGAGAUGGAGUGGGCAGAGGCGAGGCAGGCACAGAGCCCAGGGGAUGGGAGGACACAGGGGGAGGAGACACCAUCAGCAGAGCCUGGACUGCCUAUUGUGGGGCACUCUAGGAGGCCACCCAACUAGGGGUCUGGGUGAUGGCGUCAUUCCACUUACUGAACCAUGGAGAGAGAGUGGCCUCAGGGGUCCACGAUGAGUUAGGUUUGGGGACAUGUUGCAUCUUCAUGCGAUUGCUAAGAGGAUCAAUGGACUAUAACAUAUGCAAAGUGCCCAGCACAGCGGCCAGCCAGUGGCGCUCAAUAUUUAUCAGGAGACUGCAGAAACAGGCCCGAGGGAGGGACUAGACACUUGUCUCCAUCUCCAUGCCUGGCACCAUCUGCAGUGCUGGGCACAAUAGGUGCUCAAUGAAUGCCCACAGAAUUGAAAUAUGGGCUGGACCUCAAACACCAUCUGCCAGGCCAUCAUAAGCCCAACACUUUGCAGCAAGAGAUUCACCCCACAGACCACAUCGACAUCCACGCAGUUGCAAGGAAAUCAAUCGGUCUGGCUCCAGCUGUCGAAACUAGGAGCCAAGAGGAACCCUGGACAAAUAGUCUUCGGCUCAGCACUUUCUCCAUCUGGAAAGAAAACCAGGUGGGGGCAGGGGAGGAACACCAGGCCAUCAGAAGGUUAUAAGUCCAUAAAUAAGAGAUUUGUGGUAAAUAAGCUGGCGAACAUAUCCGCUGGCUGCUCUUUUUUAUCACUCACCUAGACAGCAAAAUUCCCCCGCAUCUUUUCUGCAGGCCAAUAAAUAUCCUUCAAGGAGCCUGUAUUUACAUAGAGAGCAAGGCGGGUGCCACUGCUCCACAGGCCCCAUGUCAAGAAGGAACAAUGUAUGGCCCUAAAGAGAAUGGCUGUGCGGGGAAUCAAUGCAAAUGCAGUUUCUUUUCCCAGGGUGAUGCUCCUGAGCAGGGUUCAGCCCGAGUUCAAGGAUUGUGCUCAGGCGGGUGCUGAGGGGACCUUUACAUGGAGGAGGUGAAUCUCUCCCCUAGGCAGGGUCCCCAGCUGCCUCAAGCCCACUCUGGGGCUCUGCACCCAAGACCCUUUCUCCAAAAUGAAAGAGGCCUAAAGGUUAUACUCUGGGACCUCUAGAUCAACCACUGGGUGUUAUGCCACAGAAGGAUUCAUUAAGGACCUACUGUGUGCCAGGCGCAGUAGGUAAAUGGAAACAAGGACAGACAAGGCUCCUGCCUUCCAAUCAGAGAGCUGGGAUUGAGUGGCUUCGCCCAGUAGUGGGGAAGGCUGGUCAGAAGGGCUGGCAUAUAAGCUGACACACCCAGUGGGAUUUGAACAUGAGCAGAGGAGAGAGGGUCCUGAGUAGAGACCAUGGCCUGCUCAGAGCACCCCAGGUAAGAGACAUGGAAGCAAGGUGCCAGGAGGAGGUAGAAGGACAUCUGAUACCUGGAGCGCAGUGGGUGAGAAGAAACCAGGACACACAGGAGAUGACGUCUAUGAACUGGAAAGCGGGCCUUCGCCAGAUACUGGAUCUGCUGUCAUCUUAAUCUGGGACUCUUCAGUCUCCACAACUAAACUGUGGUUGAAAGAGGUAAAGCAACUUGCUCAAGAUCAUGUGGCUCGGAAGGAGUACAGCAGGAUUUUAAACUUGGUCUGUGACACCUGUGUCCCUGGGCACUCCCCUGGCCUUCAUGUGACCACUGAAGAGAAAUGAUUUGGCUUCCUGUCCAGUGAACAACAGAGGAAGGAGAGGAUCCCAGGAGCCCUCUCUUCUCCUAGCAAUUCAGCUCUGGAAAGACAUAAGAUGCAAUUGCUGAGCCUCACCCUUUUAUCCUGGGGAUGGGGAACUGAAGCCCAGGAUGAAAAAGGGUUGUUCAAUGUCAUAGCCCAAGUUGGCUCUGCCAAAACCAUUCUCUAAGAACUCACUGGAAGCUGAGUACUCUCCAAGGCACAGCUGGGGGAGACUGCAAACAGCUGGACCCUUGUGCCUUGCCUUCCAAGGCUCUGGAAACAGCAUGUUCACAGAAUGACAGGUGGCACAGAGCUCAGGACACUUGGGUCUUCUUCCUUGGUGGGUUCUAUGCCUGGGGCCAUUCUGUCUCUCUCUUGCCUGGUGCCUUUGCCUCCACCUUGCUUAUAAGCUCUUUUCUUCCAACUACAUUCAGAAGCUCCCUGAACAUUUCAUGCCUGUUAUCCCAGGGGUAUAUGGCCUAUUCCUCACUGCUACCUCUGUUUACAUGCCAUAAAGGGAGAAGCGGCUUAAGGCAUGCAGGGGAGGUGAGUUCACCCAUGGUUGAAAAAGGCAUCUGACUUCAAAGCUGGGAGCUUGGCCCCAGCUCUGCCACUUCAGUGAUGGUUGGCCUCCCACAGCAAACCCAACCCAAGCCCCAGGCUCCUUCCUCUGCCACCCCAGGCAUGCUGGGACUCAGCCAGAGCCGGAGCUUUGAGCUCUGGAGUACAGCUUCAUGUGGACGUCUGAGUGCCCUGGGAGUCCUGGUGUUAUAUUAUUCCCAUAUUGAAGGCCAUCCAAGACUAUGAAAACUCUAGGACAAAACACUUAAAAUUCCAAGCAAAUUCCCAGCCUCGUUUCCUGUGCAUUCCUUCCCACCACCCUGGGCAACUCGAUGGGUUGC
RNAcentral lists this long non-coding RNA (3547 nucleotides) under Homo sapiens (human). Its description in RNAcentral is "HSALNT0164954". The record is from RNAcentral. Lineage: Eukaryota; Metazoa; Chordata; Mammalia; Primates; Hominidae.